Molecule: ribosomal RNA, 337 nt
Filed under: uncultured Bacteroidota bacterium
Lineage: Bacteria; Pseudomonadati; Bacteroidota
Description: bacterial SSU rRNA
Rfam family: Bacterial small subunit ribosomal RNA
Source: RNAcentral
UAAUACGGAGGAUGCGAGCGUUAUCCGGAUUUAUUGGGUUUAAAGGGUGCGUAGGCGGUUGUAUAAGUCAGCGGUGAAAUUUUCCGGCUUAACCGGGAGACUGCCGUUGAUACUGUAUAGCUUGAAUACGGUUGCUGUGAGUGGAAUGUGUGGUGUAGCGGUGAAAUGCAUAGAUAUCACACAGAAUAUCGAUUGCGAAGGCAGCUCACAAAGCCGUUAUUGACGCUGAUGCACGAAAGUGUGGGGAUCAAACAGGAUUAGAUACCCUGGUAGUCCACACUGUAAACGAUGAUAACUAGCUGUCGGCGAUACAUAGUCGGUGGUCAUAGCGAAAGCG